Molecule: ribosomal RNA, 438 nt
Filed under: Acinetobacter haemolyticus
Lineage: Bacteria; Pseudomonadati; Pseudomonadota; Gammaproteobacteria; Moraxellales; Moraxellaceae
Description: bacterial SSU rRNA
Rfam family: Bacterial small subunit ribosomal RNA
Source: RNAcentral
ACGGGAGGCAGCAGUGGGGAAUAUUGGACAAUGGGGGGAACCCUGAUCCAGCCAUGCCGCGUGUGUGAAGAAGGCCUUUUGGUUGUAAAGCACUUUAAGCGAGGAGGAGGCUACUAGUAUUAAUACUACUGGAUAGUGGACGUUACUCGCAGAAUAAGCACCGGCUAACUCUGUGCCAGCAGCCGCGGUAAUACAGAGGGUGCGAGCGUUAAUCGGAUUUACUGGGCGUAAAGCGUGCGUAGGCGGCUGAUUAAGUCGGAUGUGAAAUCCCUGAGCUUAACUUAGGAAUUGCAUUCGAUACUGGUCAGCUAGAGUAUGGGAGAGGAUGGUAGAAUUCCAGGUGUAGCGGUGAAAUGCGUAGAGAUCUGGAGGAAUACCGAUGGCGAAGGCAGCCAUCUGGCCUAAUACUGACGCUGAGGUACGAAAGCAUGGGGAGCA